GGGCGUAUAGCUCAGUUGGUAGAGCAGCUGACUCUUAAUCAGCGGGUCGUAGGUUCGAGCCCUACUGCGCCCACCA
RNAcentral lists this transfer RNA (76 nucleotides) under Alphaproteobacteria bacterium. Its description in RNAcentral is "tRNA-Lys". It matches the Rfam family "tRNA". Rfam says of the family: Transfer RNA (tRNA) molecules are approximately 80 nucleotides in length. Their secondary structure includes four short double-helical elements and three loops (D, anti-codon, and T loops). RNAcentral also lists the same sequence under 2 other names. The record is from RNAcentral. Lineage: Bacteria; Pseudomonadati; Pseudomonadota; Alphaproteobacteria.